RNAcentral lists this long non-coding RNA (1991 nucleotides) under Triticum aestivum (bread wheat). Its description in RNAcentral is "long non-coding RNA (TAES_LNC003348)". Lineage: Eukaryota; Viridiplantae; Streptophyta; Magnoliopsida; Poales; Poaceae. The record is from RNAcentral.
UCCGUCUGCCACUGGCGCGACCGGUCCUACACCUACACCUACACCUCCGUGAUGACGGUAAGUUUCCCAAGUGUUUUGCUUAAUAGAGUUUUGUUAUGAUGCCAUGUUGUAUCUACACAUAUCGUGCAUAAUGUGUGUAUGUUUGUAAUGCAUUGUAUGUGUGGGAUUCGACACCUAGUCGUGUGGCUUUGGUAGCCUUCCAUACAGGGAAAUGCCUCCUAGUGCUUCCACUGAGCCAUGGUAGUUCUCUACUGCUCCGGAACACAUGGAUUGACCGGCAUGUGUCCUUCUUUGCUCCUGUGUCUGUCCCUACGGGGAAAUGUCACGCGAUGUAUCACCGAAGUCCUUGUAGCUUGCUACGACUUGGUUGCACUCGCUGAUGACCGACACGUGCAUUGCUGGGUCAUGUAUGUCUGUCCCUGUAUGUUUGUGCCACCUUGGUUCUAUGACUAGUCAUGUCGGCCCGGGUUCUCUGCCAUAUGGAUACUAGCGACAUAAUCAUAUACUUCGCAUUUUUUCCUCCAAAAUGACUCAAUAUGCUUAGCUAGCUCAAAAAUGACAUAAUAAGCUUAAUUAGCUCCCAAAUGACAUAUUUAACCUAGGAUAGCUCUAAAAUGACCUAUACUUAGCAUUUUUCCUCCAAAAUGACUUAAUAUGCUUAGCUAGCUUAAAAAUGUUAUAUUUAACCUAGGAUAGCUCUAAAAUGACCUAUACUUAGCAUCUUUUCCUCCAAAAUGACUUAAUAUGCCUAGCUAGCUCUAAAAUGAUAUAAUAUGCUUAAGAAAUGACAUAUUUUAGGUCCUAAAUGACUUCAUAUACUUAGCUAGCUCCAAAAUGACAUAAUAACCUUACUUAGCUUCAAAAUGACAUAUUCAACCUAGGCUAGCUCUAAAAUGACCUAUACUUAGCAUUUUUUUUCCUCCAAAAUGACUUAAUAUGCUUAGCUAGCUCAAAAAUUACAUAAUAAUCUUAAUUAGCUCCAAAAUGACCUAUUUGACCUAGGAUAGCUCUAAAAUGACCUAUACUUAGCAUUUUUUCCUCCAAAAUGACUUAAUAUGCUUAGCUAGCUUCAAAAUGACCUAUACUUAGAAUCUUUUCCUCCAAAAUUAGUUAAUAUACUUAACUAGCUCUAAAAUGACAUAAUAUGCUUAAGAAAUGACAUAGUUUAGCUCCUAAAUGACUUCACAUGCUUAGCUAGCUCCAAAAUGACAUAAUAAGCUUAAUUAGCUCCAAAAUGACAUAUUUAACCUAGGAUAGCUCUAAAAUGACCUAUACUUAGCAUUUUUUCUCCAAAAUGACUUAAUAUGCUUAGCUAGCUUAAAAAUGACCUAUUUAACCUAGGAUAGCUCUAAAAUGACCUAUACUUAGCAUUUUUUCCUCCAAAAUGACUUAAUAUGCUUAGCUAGCUUAAAAAUGACCUAUUUAACCUAGGAUAGCUCUAAAAUGACCUAUACUUAGCAUCUUUUCCUCCAAAAUGACUUAAUAUGCUUAGCUAACUCUAAAAUGACAUAAUAUGCUUAAGAAAUGACAUAUUUUAGCUCCUAAAUGACUUCACAUGCUUAGCUAGCUCCAAAAUGACAUAAUAAACUUACUUAGCUCUAGAAUGACCUUAGCAUGUUUUACACCAAAAUGACUUAGUAUGCUUAGCUAGCUCAAAAAUGACAUAAUAACCAUACUUAGCUCCAAAAUGAGCUAUUUUACAGAUAUAAGUUGCAUCAUAAUAAUCUUCACAUUUUAGUUGCAUCAUAAUAAUCUUCUUCUUCUAGUCUUCUUCUUCUAACUUUCUUCUUUCCCAUUUUACAGAUUUGCUUAAGAUCAUGGAAGCUUGGGUUGAUGGAGUGCUUGUAUUUAGUUUUUGUUUUGACCUUGUGAAACUUGCUACCUAUGGAUGAAACUGUGUAAUAUUGAUGAAACUAUGUAUAUGUACAGAUGAAACUUGCUACUAUUGGUAACAUGUGUUGGAUACAUAUGUGUUCAUGACUAUUGGUAAU